Zea mays is the source of this 1844-nucleotide long non-coding RNA. RefSeq lists it as uncharacterized. The transcript has 4 exons. Lineage: Eukaryota; Viridiplantae; Streptophyta; Magnoliopsida; Poales; Poaceae. The record is from RefSeq and is a predicted model, not a curated record.
UUCCAAUUCCGGUGUUCGGGAUACCAAAAUUCCAAAGUUGAAAGGAUUAUAAUACUAAAAUUUCAAUUCCAAGCCCAGUCUUGGUGAUACCUUGGUUCCAAAAAGCUCUGACCUGCUGCCCUAGUUCUCCAGUUCGUUGGGGGUUCAUUUUCAGUGCUUGCUUCGGUUUGGGUCUUCCCGACCGCUGUGCUUGAUUGAACUUGUUGAUUUCGAUGUCCACUAAUAGUGUAUUGAUGAGCGAACUCUCAAUUACUCCCACGAGGUUGUAGAUUCGUGCUGCUACAUAUGCAUCCUUUGCUUAGAACUUAGGAUGGUAAACUUCGUGUUUUGACUGGGUAGCUUAUCACCUGAGUGUCCAUGCGUCUUGAAUUCAUAAGUCAAUGCUGGUAAUUUAAAAGUGUGUAUGAUAAUACUUCAUGUUCUAGGAAUAGGAAAUCUUUGUGCCCUACGUGUUUACAAUGUGAUGCAUGCAGUAGCCAGUGGAGCUGAUUAUCGUCUCAGACUAUGGACUAGAACACUCUGUGCAUGAGUUGCUGGAGCAUUCUCCACAUUGAAGAACUGGUUUCCACCAUAUUAAAAAUGGGGAGAUGAGAGAUCUGACAGCAGUAUGUCCGAGCUGGCAAAGGCUGUUUUGGAAAAGAAGCAAGUUCCAGAUAUUAUAGUAAACAAUGCUGGUACAAUAAACAAGAAUAACAAGACAUGGAAUGUUCCAGUGGAAGAUUUUGAUAUGGUGGUUGAUACAAAUAUCAAGGGGACAGCAAAUGUGCUUCGUCAUUUUGUACCACUUAUGAUAGCAGGAGACAUGGGAUUAUAAUUAAUUUAACCUCUGGUUGGGGAAGAUCCGCUGCUGCAGAGGUCAUACAGAAAGCCACCAAAUGCAUUAUAGUUGAUCCUUUCUGUUGAAUCAAAAUCCUUAGUGCAUACUAAAUUGCACGUUUUCAGGUUGCUCCAUAUUGUGCUUCAAAGUGGGCGAUUGAGGGCUUGACACGCUCCUUGGCUAAAGAGCUGCCUCCUGGAAUUGCAGCCAUUGCUCUUAGCCCUGGUGUCGUGAAUACUGACAUGGUUACUUCAUGCUUUGGAAGUUGAGCAGCGUUAUAUCAAACAACUGAAACAUGGGCACCGAAGGCAGCUACAAUGAUACUAAGCCUUUCACUGGACGAUAACGGUGCCUCCUUGACUGUAUGAAGUGGUGAAAUUUUGUGCUCAACUGAUUACUGAUGGGGGUCUCUAUAUUUUUGCGAGAUUAUGGUGAUGUAAAAUAGUAGUUAUAAUGUGUGUGCACUCUGAUGUCCCUAGCUGCUGCCUGAACGUUAUUGUUUAGCCUUACCUCUAUGGCCUAUGCACAUGCUCUUCUUUCAUUUGAUGUUCAGAUGGGGGAGUAAUGUGGCGAGAAAGGUGCCGGGCGGAGAGAUAGAAGCACGCGUUGCUUUGUUUUUGUGGUGUCUCCACGCAUGGUGGCACGUUCUGAUUGCGGCCUUGAAGCCCAGCCCGGGUACGCGCGCGUCUGAUACAGCAAUCAAUUGGGCGGACGGGCAUGAUGCCUGUUGCGUCGCUCUGCUGUUCCCGUGAGCACUUGAAUACUUGAUCUAUUGGCUCCAAGUAUAUAUAAUUCUGCAUCGCAAGAGGCAGGCCCGCAGGGAGAAUUAUUUUUUAAUUUCUGCUGUUCCAGGAAGGUGAAUAAGGCCACUCUCGCGUCUCCAAUGGUCUAGAUUGGAGUUAGUUGAAUUAAUUUUUUUUAAUUGAUGAUGAACACUCUAAACUGUAAGAGGAUUGGUAUGGAGCCAAGAGAUAGUCACGUACGUUUUGACGAUGCAUCCUCAGUAUGAAAUGAUGUUCUCAAUAGG